Molecule: ribosomal RNA, 495 nt
Filed under: uncultured bacterium
Lineage: Bacteria
Description: partial 16S ribosomal RNA
Rfam family: Bacterial small subunit ribosomal RNA
Source: RNAcentral
GAUGAACGCUGGCGGCGUGCCUAAUUCAUGCAAGUCGAGCGAACAGAUGAGGAGCUUGCUCCUCUGACGUUAGCGGCGGACGGGUGAGUAACACGUGGAUAACCUACCUAUAAGACUGGGAUAACUUCGGGAAACCGGAGCUAAUACCGGAUAAUAUAUUGAACCGCAUGGUUCAAUAGUGAAAGACGGUUUUGCUGUCACUUAUAGAUGGAUCCGCGCCGCAUUAGCUAGUUGGUAAGGUAACGGCUUACCAAGGCAACGAUGCGUAGCCGACCUGAGAGGGAUAUCCGCCCAGGGAACCUGAACCCCGGCCCGGACCCCAAGGGGAGGCGGAGGUGGGAAAUCUUCGCAAAUGGGGGAAGCUUGACGGAGCAACGCCGCGUGAGUGAUGAAGGUCUUCGGAUCGUAAAACUCUGUUAUUAGGGAAGAACAAAUGUGUAAGUAACUAUGCACGUCUUGACGGUACCUAAUCAGAAAGCCACGGCUAACUACGUG